AUAAGAAUAAUAAACGUUAGGGACGUUAUAAAACAAUAUUUGAAUGUCAAUGGACGGAUCUUUUGCAGAAUCACGGUAACCAUGGUAAAAUCUUGGUUUAUCAUUAGCAGUUCCAUUUUGAUAUUACAAGAAUCCUACUGAGAAUUACGUCAAAUUUGCUUCUUGACAGUUAUGCUAAUAUUAACUGUUUUGUAGAGAAACGCUUUUGGGUGGUUAAAGUCAUUUAUUGACAGUCUCACUGUAUCAGUACUGUAAAGCACGCGCACUUCCAUCGGCUCGUUCUCUCGGGCGCGUUCCCGUGCACAGAAUUCCUGGCUCAGGGCUCGAGAAGCCCGGGAACGGCGCUGUGGUGGAUGCAUUACAACAGCAUUCCAAACUCCUGUGCCUUUCUGUUUAUAACGACGAAGCCACGUUACACUUAUAUGAAUAAGUGAAUUUGAAUCCCAGUGUCACCGCCUGGACGUAGGAGUAAUUUGCGUUGAUUCAAAACGGAUUUAGUUUAUGACAGAUGAAUCUGGGAGACGCUAAAAUCAGACCUCCUGUAUGUGUGGUUGGAUGCAUCGAUGACACACAUAAUCCCAUCAUCGCACCUUCCGAAAAUGAACCAGAUACUGGAUGCCUGGAUUAAUGGGAGGAUGCCAGAUGGAAGGGUGGAGAUAUAUAAGGACCGCAGCUGUUAAAUGAACACAAAUUAUUCACAAUGUAUUUGGUCAUUUUUAUUUACUACAAAUACAAAAGCAAAAUUACAAAAGCCAUUUUAAUAUUCUUCCAAUAUUGAGUGGUGGGACAGGUCCAACCUCUGUUAGAAGUCAAAUGUUAAUUUAACUAGUCUGAAUAAAACAUUUAACAGGUUGAAGAGAGCAUUUAAUUGUGUGAAAAUAGAUAUAGGCUACUACAUAGAAACAGCAAGGCACAUUGAAAUAGAAACUGAAUUAUAUUUAUUUAAUAUGUGAAAUGUUUGUAAAGUCAUGUAGUCUAGAGCCAUGAACCUUUUAUGCUUAACUGAUUGAGUUAUCUGAUUUAAUUUGAUGAGUAUAAGUCCACUAACUAAAUAAUAAUAAAAAAAGAAAUAAUAAUGAUAAUAAUAAUAAAGGAAAAUUGUUAAAAUUGAAAGUAGAUUACAUCUGGUCUAAGCUAUUUUUUUUUUUAAUUUGGCUUUGUUAUUUAUUUAUUUAUUUAUUUUAUUCAUGUCGGUGAGGCCAUCUAAUUUGUAACUUUCUUAAUAUAAGAAUGGGGUAGGAGUUUAUAAGAUUUUUUUUUCUUCAUCCUACUCCUGUUCUUCUUGUCAUGGAAUGUAUUUUUGUUGUGUUUGUUGGAUUGUUGUUGUG
Molecule: long non-coding RNA, 1328 nt
Organism: Cyprinus carpio (common carp)
Lineage: Eukaryota; Metazoa; Chordata; Actinopteri; Cypriniformes; Cyprinidae
Source: RefSeq, a predicted model, not a curated record